CAUAUCAAUAAGCGGAGGAAAAGAAACUAACAAGGAUUCCCCUAGUAACUGCGAGUGAAGCGGGAAAAGCUCAAAUUUAAAAUCUGGCAGUCUCUGGCUGUCCGAGUUGUAAUCUAGAGAAGUGUUAUCCGCGCUGGACCGUGUACAAGUCUCCUGGAAUGGAGCGUCAUAGAGGGUGAGAAUCCCGUCUUUGACACGGACUGCCAGGGCUUUGUGAUGCGCUCUCAAAGAGUCGAGUUGUUUGGGAAUGCAGCUCAAAAUGGGUGGUAAAUUCCAUCUAAAGCUAAAUAUUGGCGAGAGACCGAUAGCGAACAAGUACCGUGAGGGAAAGAUGAAAAGAACUUUGGAAAGAGAGUUAAACAGUACGUGAAAUUGCUGAAAGGGAAACGCUUGAAGUCAGUCGCGUUGGCCAGGGAUCAACCUUGCUUUUGCUUGGUGCACUUUCUGGUUGACGGGUCAGCAUCAAUUUUGACUAUUGGAAAAAGGUCAAGGGAAUGUGGCAUCUUCGGAUGUGUUAUAGCCCUUAGCUGCAUACAAUGGUUGGGAUUGAGGAACUCAGCACGCCGCAAGGCCGGGUUUUAACCACGUACGUGCUUAGGAUGCUGGCAUAAUGGCUUUAAUCGACCCGUCUUGAAACACGGACCAAGGAGUCUAACAUGCCUGCGAGUGUUUGGGUGGAAAACCCGAGCGCGCAAUGAAAGUGAAAGUUGAGAUCCCUGUCGUGGGGAGCAUCGACGCCCGGACCAGACCUUUUGUGACGGUCCCGCGGUAGAGCAUGUAUGUUGGGACCCGAAAGAUGGUGAACUAUGCCUGAAUAGGGUGAAGCCAGAGGAAACUCUGGUGGAGGCUCGUAGCGAUUCUGACGUGCAAAUCGAUCGUCAAAUUUGGGUAUAGGGGCGAAAGACUAAUCGAACCAUCUAGUAGCUGGUUCCUGCC
RNAcentral lists this ribosomal RNA (936 nucleotides) under Thaxterogaster australis. RNAcentral's name for it is "Cortinarius australis partial large subunit ribosomal RNA". It matches the Rfam family "Eukaryotic large subunit ribosomal RNA", at positions 39 to 962 of the family's 3401-position model. Lineage: Eukaryota; Fungi; Basidiomycota; Agaricomycetes; Agaricales; Cortinariaceae. The record is from RNAcentral.